This 466-nucleotide ribosomal RNA is filed under the name Peregrinus maidis (corn hopper). RNAcentral describes it as "partial 16S ribosomal RNA". Lineage: Eukaryota; Metazoa; Arthropoda; Insecta; Hemiptera; Delphacidae. The record is from RNAcentral.
UUUAAAUAGCUGCAGUAUUUUAACUGUACAAAGGUAGCAUAAUAAUUAGUCUUUUAAUUGAGGUCUAGAAUGAAUGGUUUAACAAGAAAAAUUCUUUAUUUAAUUAAUUUAGUUAAAUUUAAUUUUUUAGUUAAAAAGCUAAAAUUUUUAAAUGGGACGAUAAGACCCUAUAGAUCUUUAAAUUUUUAUAACUAAAUAUGUUUUAGGUUAAAUAGGGUUUUAAAUAAAAAUUUUUUGUUGGGGUGACAAUUAAAUUUUUAAAACUUUAAUGUUUAUUUACAUAAAUUUAUGAAUUCAAUUGAUCUUAAAUUUUAGAUUAAUAAAAUAAGAUACCUUAGGGAUAACAGCGUAAUAAGUUUGUAUAGUCCGUAUAGAUAAAUUUGUUUACGACCUCGAUGUUGAAUUAAUUAAAAUUUUUGGAGCAGAAUAUAAAAUUUUAGGUCUGUUCGACCUUUAAAAUAUUACA